GGUUGUUUGAACCGCAUGGUUCAAACAUAAAAGGUGGCUUCGGCUACCACUUACAGAUGGACCCGCGGCGCAUUAGCUAGUUGGUGAGGUAACGGCUCACCAAGGCAACGAUGCGUAGCCGACCUGAGAGGGUGAUCGGCCACACUGGGACUGAGACACGGCCCAGACUCCUACGGGAGGCAGCAGUAGGGAAUCUUCCGCAAUGGACGAAAGUCUGACGGAGCAACGCCGCGUGAGUGAUGAAGGUUUUCGGAUCGUAAAGCUCUGUUGUUAGGGAAGAACAAGUACCGUUCGAAUAGGGCGGUACCUUGACGGUACCUAACCAGAAAGCCACGGCUAACUACGUGCCAGCAGCCGCGGUAAUACGUAGGUGGCAAGCGUUGUCCGGAAUUAUUGGGCGUAAAGGGCUCGCAGGCGGUUUCUUAAGUCUGAUGUGAAAGCCCCCGGCUCAACCGGGGAGGGUCAUUGGAAACUGGGGAACUUGAGUGCAGAAGAGGAGAGUGGAAUUCCACGUGUAGCGGUGAAAUGCGUAGAGAUGUGGAGGAACACCAGUGGCGAAGGCGACUCUCUGGUCUGUAACUGACGCUGAGGAGCGAAAGCGUGGGGAGCGAACAGGAUUAGAUACCCCUGGUAGUCCACGCCGUAAACGAUGAGUGCUAAGUGUUAGGGGGUUUCCGCCCCUUAGUGCUGCAGCUAACGCAUUAAGCACUCCGCCUGGGGGAGUACGGUCGCAAGACUGAAACUCAAAGGAAUUGACGGGGGCCCGCACAAGCGGUGGAGCAUGUGG
This 787-nucleotide ribosomal RNA is filed under the name Bacillus subtilis. Its description in RNAcentral is "bacterial SSU rRNA". It matches the Rfam family "Bacterial small subunit ribosomal RNA", at positions 173 to 944 of the family's 1533-position model. The record is from RNAcentral. Lineage: Bacteria; Bacillati; Bacillota; Bacilli; Caryophanales; Bacillaceae.